UGUCUGAGAAGCCCAACAAAUAUGUUCCUCAUGUCUCUGGAGCUGUGGAUCAGAAAGGGCAAAGGAUAUUACAUGGACAAGUAGAAGGAGCAGAUAAGAAUGCUGAGGAAGAUUCUAUAGCCAGGCUUUCCGACAAACCUGGUCCUGAUGAUUCAUGGUCUACAUCAUCUAGCCAAGUCUUAGAUUUUGGGACCAAGGUAAAGUA
Molecule: long non-coding RNA, 205 nt
Organism: Prionailurus viverrinus (fishing cat)
Lineage: Eukaryota; Metazoa; Chordata; Mammalia; Carnivora; Felidae
Exons: 3
Source: RefSeq, a predicted model, not a curated record